This 225-nucleotide ribosomal RNA is filed under the name uncultured bacterium. RNAcentral describes it as "partial 16S ribosomal RNA". It matches the Rfam family "Bacterial small subunit ribosomal RNA", at positions 524 to 748 of the family's 1533-position model. The record is from RNAcentral.
UACGUAGGGUGCAAGCGUUGUCCGGAAUUAUUGGGCGUAAAGAGCUCGUAGGCGGUCUGUCGCGUCUGCUGUGAAAACUCAGGGCUUAACCCUGAGCUUGCAGUGGGUACGGGCAGACUAGAGUUCGGUAGGGGAGUCUGGAAUUCCUGGUGUAGCGGUGAAAUGCGCAGAUAUCAGGAGGAACACCCGUAGCGAAGGCGGCACUCUGGGCCGAUACUGACACUG